UACGUAGGGGGCAAGCGUUGUCCGGAAUUAUUGGGCGUAAAGAGCGUGUAGGCGGUCCGGUAAGUCAGCUGUGAAAGUCAAGGGCUCAACCCUUGAAUGCCGGUUGAUACUGUCGGGCUAGAGUCCGGAAGAGGCGAGUGGAAUUCUCGGUGUAGCGGUGAAAUGCGCAGAUAUCGGGAGGAACACCAAUGGCGAAGGCAGCUCGCUGGGACGGUACUGACGCUGAGACGCGAAAGCGUGGGGAGCGAACAGG
RNAcentral lists this ribosomal RNA (253 nucleotides) under uncultured bacterium. RNAcentral describes it as "partial 16S ribosomal RNA". It matches the Rfam family "Bacterial small subunit ribosomal RNA", at positions 524 to 776 of the family's 1533-position model. The record is from RNAcentral.